This 857-nucleotide ribosomal RNA is filed under the name uncultured bacterium. Its description in RNAcentral is "bacterial SSU rRNA". It matches the Rfam family "Bacterial small subunit ribosomal RNA", at positions 504 to 1365 of the family's 1533-position model. The record is from RNAcentral.
UGUGCCAGCAGCCGCGGUAAUACGUAGGGUGCGAGCGUUAAUCGGAAUUACUGGGCGUAAAGCGUGCGCAGGCGGUUUGGUAAGACAGGCGUGAAAUCCCCGGGCUCAACCUGGGAACUGCGCUUGUGACUGCCUCACUAGAGUACGGCAGAGGGGGGUGGAAUUCCACGUGUAGCAGUGAAAUGCGUAGAGAUGUGGAGGAACACCGAUGGCGAAGGCAGCCCCCUGGGCCGAUACUGACGCUCAUGCACGAAAGCGUGGGUAGCAAACAGGAUUAGAUACCCUGGUAGUCCACGCCCUAAACGGUGUCAACUAGUUGUUGGGGGGGUAAAACCCUUUAGUAACGUAGCUAACGCGUGAAGUUGACCGCCUGGGGAGUACGGCCGCAAGGUUAAAACUCAAAGGAAUUGACGGGGACCCGCACAAGCGGUGGAUGAUGUGGAUUAAUUCGAUGCAACGCGAAAAACCUUACCUACCCUUGACAUGUUCAGAAGCCUGAAGAGAUUUGGGUGUGCCCGAAAGGGAACUGGAACACAGGUGCUGCAUGGCUGUCGUCAGCUCGUGUCGUGAGAUGUUGGGUUAAGUCCCGCAACGAGCGCAACCCUUGUCGUUAAUUGCCAUCAUUAAGUUGGGCACUUUAGCGAGACUGCCGGUGACAAACCGGAGGAAGGUGGGGAUGACGUCAAGUCCUCAUGGCCCUUAUGGGUAGGGCUUCACACGUCAUACAAUGGUCGGUACAGAGGGUUGCCAAGCCGCGAGGUGAGCCAAUCCCAGAAAGCCGAUCGUAGUCCGAUGGAGGCUGCACUCGCUCAUGAGUCGGAAUCGCUAGUAAUCGCGAAUCAGCAUGUUCGCGGUGA